AUGCAAAUUAUGUUAUUUGCAAAAGCUACGAAACAUAUGUGUUUAUCCAAACUGAAGAAGUUUGUUUUCACAACUAUGUCUCGAUUGAAUACAAAUUUGAAAAACUUUAACUCAAAUUUCUUCUCACUUUACCAUCCUUUUUCUGUGUCUCUCUCGUCCUUCAUCUUCCUUCUCUUUCUCAAUCUCUUUCUAUUUCUCUUUCUCUUUCUCAAUCUCUUUCUAUUUCUCUUUCUCUAUCUCUAUCUCUUCUUUCUCUUCAUCUUCCUUUUCUUUCUCUAUCUCUUUUUUUAUUAUUAG
Molecule: non-coding RNA, 297 nt
Organism: Vicia faba (fava bean)
Lineage: Eukaryota; Viridiplantae; Streptophyta; Magnoliopsida; Fabales; Fabaceae
Source: the annotation of a GenBank genome assembly